Molecule: ribosomal RNA, 460 nt
Filed under: uncultured bacterium
Lineage: Bacteria
Description: partial 16S ribosomal RNA
Rfam family: Bacterial small subunit ribosomal RNA
Source: RNAcentral
CCUACGGUAGGCAGCAGUGAGGAAUAUUGGUCAAUGGACGCAAGUCUGAACCAGCCAUGCCGCGUGCAGGAAGACGGCUCUAUGAGUUGUAAACUGCUUUUGUACGAGGGUAAACGCAGAUACGCGUAUCUGUCUGAAAGUAUCGUACGAAUAAGGAUCGGCUAACUCAGUGCCAGAAGCCGCGGUAAUACGGAGGAUUCAAGCGUUAUCCGGAUUUAUUGGGUUUAAAGGGUGAGUAGGCGGUCGGAUAAGUUAGAGGUGAAAUCCAGAGGCUCAACUUCGGAAUUGCCUCUGAUACGGUGCGGCUAGAGAGGAGUUGCGGUAGGCGGAAUGUAUGGUGUAGCGGUGAAAUGCUUAGAGAUCAUACAGAACACCGAUUGCGAAGGCAGCUUACCAAGCUACUUCUGACGUUGAGGCACGAAAGCGUGGGGAGCAAACAGGAUUAGAUACCCCGGUAGUC